AAUUCGCCCUUAGAGUUUGAUCCUGGCUCAGGACGAACGCUGGCGGCGCGCCUAACACAUGCAAGUCGAACGGAGCUGAGAGGAGCUUGCUUUUCUUAGCUUAGUGGCGAACGGGUGAGUAACGCGUGAGUAACCUGCCCUGGAGUGGGGGACAACAGUUGGAAACGACUGCUAAUACCGCAUAAGCCCACGGCCCGGCAUCGGGCUGCGGGAAAAGGAUUUAUUCGCUUCAGGAUGGACUCGCGUCCAAUUAGCUAGUUGGUGAGGUAACGGCCCACCAAGGCGACGAUUGGUAGCCGGACUGAGAGGUUGAACGGCCACAUUGGGACUGAGACACGGCCCAGACUCCUACGGGAGGCAGCAGUGGGGGAUAUUGCACAAUGGGGGAAACCCUGAUGCAGCGACGCCGCGUGGAGGAAGAAGGUUUUCGGAUUGUAAACUCCUGUCGUUAGGGACGAUAAUGACGGUACCUAACAAGAAAGCACCGGCUAACUACGUGCCAGCAGCCGCGGUAAAACGUAGGGUGCAAGCGUUGUCCGGAAUUACUGGGUGUAAAGGGAGCGCAGGCGGACCGGCAAGUUGGAAGUGAAAACUAUGGGCUCAACCCAUAAAUUGCUUUCAAAACUGCUGGCCUUGAGUAGUGCAGAGGUAGGUGGAAUUCCCGGUGUAGCGGUGGAAUGCGUAGAUAUCGGGAGGAACACCAGUGGCGAAGGCGACCUACUGGGCACCAACUGACGCUGAGGCUCGAAAGCAUGGGUAGCAAACAGGAUUAGAUACCCUGGUAGUCCAUGCCGUAAACGAUGACUACAAGGUGUUGGAGGAUUGACCCCUUUCAGUGCCGCAGUUAACACAAUAAGUAAUCCACCUGGGGGAGUACGUCCGCAAGGGUUGUAACUCAAAGGAAUUGACGGGGGCCCGCUCAAGCAGUGGAGUAUGUGGUUUAAUUCGAAGCAACGCGAAGAACCUUACCAGGUCUUGACAUCCGAUGCAUAGCUUAGAGAUAAGUGAAGUCCUUCGGGACAUCGAGACAGGUGGUGCAUGGUUGUCGUCAGCUCGUGUCGUGAGAUGUUGGGUUAAGUCCCGCAACGAGCGCAACCCUUAUUGCCAGUUACUACGAAAGAGGACUCUGGCGAGACUGCCGUUGACAAAACGGAGGAGGGUGGGGAUGACGUCAAAUCAUCAUGCCCUUUAUGACCUGGGCUACACACGUACUACAAUGGCGUUUAACAAAGAGAAGCAAGACCGCGAGGUGGAGCAAAACUCAAAAACAACGUCUCAGUUCAGAUUGCAGGCUGCAACUCGCCUGCAUGAAGUCGGAAUUGCUAGUAAUCGCGGAUCA
RNAcentral lists this ribosomal RNA (1339 nucleotides) under uncultured bacterium. RNAcentral describes it as "bacterial SSU rRNA". It matches the Rfam family "Bacterial small subunit ribosomal RNA", at positions 1 to 1351 of the family's 1533-position model. The record is from RNAcentral.